This is a non-coding RNA of Cinara cedri, 414 nucleotides long. The record is from the annotation of a GenBank genome assembly. Lineage: Eukaryota; Metazoa; Arthropoda; Insecta; Hemiptera; Aphididae.
UAGGAGUUAGGCAAAUAUAGGAGUACGUAUGUACUAAGACUUAAACAAUUUACGUUACGUUAAUAUUUCUAUGAGAAUUGAGAAUGUACAAUCAAGUACCUAGGUAUUUUUUAUCAUUUUAUUGCACUGUCAGAAUCUAGUAUUUACUGGAGUAGUGAGAGGUGUACAAUUGCGUUAAAUUUUGCUUCAGUAUCAUAUUAAUAAUUCAUGCCUAAUGCCGUAUCUAUAGUUUUAUUACUCUAUUAGAAGUUAUAUGAUCUAAGAUGUCUCUGAUGGUGGACUCAGAAAAACAUUGAUAAAACCUUUCCAUUCGGUAUCCUGUAUCUAGGACAAAUGGACGGGAGGGGCAUUUGAACCAUCAAACAAAAAAUUACAAUAAAAAUAUUAAAUAAUGCAAUAAAUAAUUUAAAAAAU